This 496-nucleotide ribosomal RNA is filed under the name uncultured bacterium. RNAcentral describes it as "partial 16S ribosomal RNA". It matches the Rfam family "Bacterial small subunit ribosomal RNA", at positions 28 to 506 of the family's 1533-position model. The record is from RNAcentral.
GAUGAACGCUGGCGGCGUGCCUAAUACAUGCAAGUCGAGCGAACGGACGAGAAGCUUGCUUCUCUGAUGUUAUCGGCGGACGGGUGAGUAACACGUGGAUAACCUACCUAUAAGACUGGGAUAACUUCGGGAAACCGGAGCUAAUACCGGAUGAUAUUUUGAACCGCAUGGUUCAAAAGUGAAAGACGGUCUUGCUGUCACUUAUAGAUGGAUCCGCGCUGCAUUAGCUAGUUGGUAAGGUAACGGCUUACCAAGGCAACGAUGCAUAGCCGACCUGAGAGGGUGAUCGGCCACACUGGAACUGAGACACGGUCCAGACUCCUACGGGAGGCAGCAGUAGGGAAUCUUCCGCAAUGGGCGAAAGCCUGACGGAGCAACGCCGCGUGAGUGAUGAAGGUCUUCGGAUCGUAAAACUCUGUUAUUAGGGAAGAACAUAUGUGUAAGUAACUGUGCACAUCUUGACGGUACCUAAUCAGAAAGCCACGGCUAACUACGU